Molecule: ribosomal RNA, 401 nt
Filed under: Bacillus cereus
Lineage: Bacteria; Bacillati; Bacillota; Bacilli; Caryophanales; Bacillaceae
Description: bacterial SSU rRNA
Rfam family: Bacterial small subunit ribosomal RNA
Source: RNAcentral
AUUGGGCGUAAGCGCGCGCAGGUGGUUUCUUAAGUCUGAUGUGAAAGCCCACGCCUCAACCGUGGAGGGUCAUUGGAAACUGGGAGACUUGAGUGCAGAAGAGGAAAGUGGAAUUCCAUGUGUAGCGGUGAAAUGCGUAGAGAUAUGGAGGAACACCAGUGGCGAAGGCGACUUUCUGGUCUGUAACUGACACUGAGGCGCGAAAGCGUGGGGAGCAAACAGGAUUAGAUACCCUGGUAGUCCACGCCGUAAACGAUGAGUGCUAAGUGUUAGAGGGUUUCCGCCCUUUAGUGCUGAAGUUAACGCAUUAAGCACUCCGCCUGGGGAGUACGGCCGCAAGGCUGAAACUCAAAGGAAUUGACGGGGGCCCGCACAAGCGGUGGAGCAUGUGGUUUAAUUCA